UACGGAGGGGGCUAGCGUUGUUCGGAAUUACUGGGCGUAAAGCGCGCGUAGGCGGCUUUGUACGUUAGAGGUGAAAGCCCGGAGCUUAACUCCGGAACUGCCUUUAAGACUGCAUCGCUAGAAUUGUGGAGAGGUAAGUGGAAUUCCGAGUGUAGAGGUGAAAUUCGUAGAUAUUCGGAAGAACACCAGUGGCGAAGGCGGCUCACUGGACCGGUACUGACGCUGAUGCGCGAAAGCGUGGGGAGCAAACAGG
Molecule: ribosomal RNA, 253 nt
Filed under: uncultured bacterium
Lineage: Bacteria
Description: partial 16S ribosomal RNA
Rfam family: Bacterial small subunit ribosomal RNA
Source: RNAcentral